This 1477-nucleotide ribosomal RNA is filed under the name Salmonella enterica subsp. enterica serovar Typhimurium. Its description in RNAcentral is "partial 23S ribosomal RNA". It matches the Rfam family "Bacterial large subunit ribosomal RNA", at positions 566 to 1895 of the family's 2925-position model. Lineage: Bacteria; Pseudomonadati; Pseudomonadota; Gammaproteobacteria; Enterobacterales; Enterobacteriaceae. The record is from RNAcentral.
UUUGCUGAGGAUACGGUUAACGGAGCGAAAGCGACGUUCAACCGCAAAACAAGCAGAGGGGGCUUAGUGGUGGGGUGACUGCGUACCUUUUGUAUAAUGGGUCAGCGACUUAUAUUCUGUAGCAAGGUUAACCGAAUAGGGGAGCCGGAGGGAAACCGAGUCUUAAUUGGGCGUUAAGUUGCAGGGUAUAGACCCGAAACCCGGUGAUCUAGCCAUGGGCAGGUUGAAGGUUGGGUAACACUAACUGGAGGACCGAACCGACUAAUGUUGAAAAAUUAGCGGAUGACCUGUGGCUGGGGGUGAAAGGCCAAUCAAACCGGGAGAUAGCUGGUUCUCCCCGAAAGCUAUUUAGGUAGCGCCUCGUGAAUUCAUCUCCGGGGGUAGAGCACUGUUUCGGCUAGGGGGCCAUCCCGGCUUACCAACCCGAUGCAAACUGCGAAUACCGGAGAAUGUUAUCACGGGAGACACACGGCGGGUGCUAACGUCCGUCGUGAAGAGGGAAACAACCCAGACCGCCAGCUAAGGUCCCAAAGUCAUGGUUAAGUGGGAAACGAUGUGGGAAGGCCCAGACAGCCAGGAUGUUGGCUUAGAAGCAGCCAUCAUUUAAAGAAAGCGUAAUAGCUCACUGGUCGAGUCGGCCUGCGCGGAAGAUGUAACGGGGCUAAACCAUGCACCGAAGCUGCGGCAGCGAACGUAUCACCCAAGACAACUUUACGGAGUUGACGAUUGACGGAGCGAAGCGACGUCAAAGCGUUCAUUAAAGUCGAGUUGGCUUAGGGAUACGUUCGUUGGGUAGGGGAGCGUUCUGUAAGCCUGUGAAGGUGUGUCGUGAGGCAUGCUGGAGGUAUCAGAAGUGCGAAUGCUGACAUAAGUAACGAUAAAGCGGGUGAAAAGCCCGCUCGCCGGAAGACCAAGGGUUCCUGUCCAACGUUAAUCGGGGCAGGGUGAGUCGACCCCUAAGGCGAGGCCGAAAGGCGUAGUCGAUGGGAAACGGGUUAAUAUUCCCGUACUUGGUGUUACUGCGAAGGGGGGACGGAGAAGGCUAUGUUGGCCGGGCGACGGUUGUCCCGGUUUAAGCGUGUAGGUGUGUGUUCCAGGUAAAUCCGGUUCACUUUAACACUGAGGCGUGACGACGAGGCACUACGGUGCUGAAGCAACAAAUGCCCUGCUUCCAGGAAAAGCCUCUAAGCAUCAGGUAACACGAAAUCGUACCCCAAACCGACACAGGUGGUCAGGUAGAGAAUACCAAGGCGCUUGAGAGAACUCGGGUGAAGGAACUAGGCAAAAUGGUGCCGUAACUUCGGGAGAAGGCACGCUGACACGUAGGUGAAGUGAUUUACUCAUGGAGCUGAAGUCAGUCGAAGAUACCAGCUGGCUGCAACUGUUUAUUAAAAACACAGCACUGUGCAAACACGAAAGUGGACGUAUACGGUGUGACGCCUGCCCGGUGCCGGAAGGUUAAUUGAUGGGGUCAGCG